AUUGAACGCUGGCGGCAGGCCUAACACAUGCAAGUCGAACGGUAACAGGAAGCAGCUUGCUGCUUCGCUGACGAGUGGCGGACGGGUGAGUAAUGUCUGGGAAGCUGCCUGAUGGAGGGGGAUAACUACUGGAAACGGUAGCUAAUACCGCAUAAUGUCGCAAGACCAAAGAGGGGGACCUUCGGGCCUCUUGCCAUCGGAUGUGCCCAGAUGGGAUUAGCUUGUUGGUGGGGUAACGGCUCACCAAGGCGACGAUCCCUAGCUGGUCUGAGAGGAUGACCAGCCACACUGGAACUGAGACACGGUCCAGACUCCUACGGGAGGCAGCAGUGGGGAAUAUUGCACAAUGGGCGCAAGCCUGAUGCAGCCAUGCCGCGUGUAUGAAGAAGGCCUUCGGGUUGUAAAGUACUUUCAGCGGGGAGGAAGGGAGUAAAGUUAAUACUUUUGCUCAUUGACGUUACCCGCAGAAGAAGCACCGGCUAACUCCGUG
This 490-nucleotide ribosomal RNA is filed under the name uncultured bacterium. RNAcentral describes it as "partial 16S ribosomal RNA". It matches the Rfam family "Bacterial small subunit ribosomal RNA", at positions 30 to 507 of the family's 1533-position model. The record is from RNAcentral.